Long non-coding RNA from Alosa sapidissima (American shad), 207 nucleotides. RefSeq lists it as uncharacterized. The transcript is spliced from 3 exons. The record is from RefSeq and is a predicted model, not a curated record. NCBI's taxonomy places the organism in Eukaryota, Metazoa, Chordata, Actinopteri, Clupeiformes, Clupeidae.
ACCACACUGCGUCAGUUCGCCCUGCGGCUCAGUAGCAACUUCAACUUCAUCUCUUUCUCUCAACCCCGUGUUCCAUCUCCAACAUUUCAGAUUGACAGAAUAGCAACAAGGAUGCACCUGGCUGCACUCAUCCUGCUGGUCCUGGUGAUAGGACAAGUUGGAAGAAUUGGAGGAGCAGAAGAAAGAGGAAUAGGAGCAGGAGGAAGA